Molecule: ribosomal RNA, 492 nt
Filed under: uncultured organism
Description: SSU rRNA
Rfam family: Bacterial small subunit ribosomal RNA
Source: RNAcentral
AGAGUUUGAUCCUGGCUCAGGAUGAACGCUGGCGGCGUGCUUAACACAUGCAAGUCGAACGGAGUAUAUUUAAAAGCUUGCUUUUGUUUAUACUUAGUGGCGGACGGGUGAGUAACGCGUGGGUAACCUGCCUUAUACCGGGGGACAACAGUUGGAAACGACUGCUAAUACCGCAUAAGCGCACAGUAUCGCAUGAUACAGUGUGAAAAACUCCGGUGGUAUAAGAUGGACCCGCGUCUGAUUAGCCAGUUGGCGGUGUAACGGACCACCAAAGCGACGAUCAGUAGCCGGCCUGAGAGGGCAAACGGCCACAUUGGGACUGAGACACGGCCCAAACUCCUACGGGAGGCAGCAGUGGGGAAUAUUGCACAAUGGAGGAAACUCUGAUGCAGCGACGCCGCGUGAGUGAAGAAGUAUUUCGGUAUGUAAAGCUCUAUCAGCAGGAAAGAAAAUGACGGUACCUGACUAAGAAGCCCCGGCUAACUACGUGCC